This 467-nucleotide ribosomal RNA is filed under the name uncultured bacterium. RNAcentral describes it as "partial 16S ribosomal RNA". It matches the Rfam family "Bacterial small subunit ribosomal RNA", at positions 28 to 506 of the family's 1533-position model. The record is from RNAcentral.
GACGAACGCUGGCGGCGUGCUUAACACAUGCAAGUCGAACGGAAAGGCCCUGCUUUUGUGGGGUGCUCGAGUGGCGAACGGGUGAGUAACACGUGAGUAACCUGCCCUUGACUUUGGGAUAACUUCAGGAAACUGGGGCUAAUACCGGAUAGGAGCUCCUGCUGCAUGGUGGGGGUUGGAAAGUUUCGGCGGUUGGGGAUGGACUCGCGGCUUAUCAGCUUGUUGGUGGGGUAGUGGCUUACCAAGGCUUUGACGGGUAGCCGGCCUGGGAGGGUGACCGGCCACAUUGGGACUGAGAUACGGCCCAGACUCCUACGGGAGGCAGCAGUGGGGAAUAUUGCACAAUGGGCGGAAGCCUGAUGCAGCAACGCCGCGUGCGGGAUGACGGCCCUCGGGUUGUAAACCGCUUUCGCCUGUGACGAAGCGUGAGUGACGGUAAUGGGUAAAGAAGCACCGGCUAACUACGU